GACGAACGCUGGCGGCGUGCCUAAUACAUGCAAGUCGAACGAGAGCGCCCGGUGCUUGCACUGGUCAAUCUAGUGGCGAACGGGUGAGUAACACGUGGGUAACCUGCCCAUCAGAGGGGGAUAACAUCCGGAAACGGAUGCUAAAACCGCAUAGGUCUUCGAACCGCAUGGUUUGAAGAGGAAAAGAGGCGCAAGCUUCUGCUGAUGGAUGGACCCGCGGUGCAUUAGCUAGUUGGUGAGGUAACGACUCACCAAGGCCGUGAUGCAUAGCCGACCUGAGAGGGUGAUCGGCCACAUGGGGACUGAGACACGGCCCAAACUCCUACGGGAGGCAGCAGUAGGGAAUCUUCCGCAAUGGACGCAAGUCUGACGGAGCAACGCCGCGUGAGUGAAGAAGGUUUUCGGAUCGUAAAACUCUGUUGUUAGAGAAGAACAAGUGCUAGAGUAACUGUUAGCGCCUUGACGGUAUCUAACCAGAAAGCCACGGCUAACUACGUG
RNAcentral lists this ribosomal RNA (498 nucleotides) under uncultured bacterium. Its description in RNAcentral is "partial 16S ribosomal RNA". It matches the Rfam family "Bacterial small subunit ribosomal RNA", at positions 28 to 507 of the family's 1533-position model. The record is from RNAcentral.